CGCGAUGUCGUUGAGGCGGGUGAGCAGCGCGGCCGGUUCGAGGCCGAUCGACGCGAGGCUCUGCACGGCGGUCCGGUAGCGGCCCAUCGCGGC
This 93-nucleotide transfer RNA is filed under the name Phytomonospora endophytica. RNAcentral's name for it is "tRNA-Ser". Lineage: Bacteria; Bacillati; Actinomycetota; Actinomycetes; Micromonosporales; Micromonosporaceae. The record is from RNAcentral.